This 403-nucleotide ribosomal RNA is filed under the name Fusobacteriota bacterium. Its description in RNAcentral is "Fusobacteria bacterium partial 16S ribosomal RNA". It matches the Rfam family "Bacterial small subunit ribosomal RNA", at positions 355 to 776 of the family's 1533-position model. The record is from RNAcentral. Lineage: Bacteria; Fusobacteriati; Fusobacteriota.
UGGGGAAUCUUGCACAAUGGGGGAAACCCUGAUGCAGCGACGCCGCGUGAGCGAUGAAGGUUUUCGAAUCGUAAAGCCCUGUCUUAUGGGAAGAUAAUGACGGUACCAUGGGAGGAAGCCCCGGCUAACUACGUGCCAGCAGCCGCGGUAAUACGUAGGGGGCGAGCGUUGUCCGGAAUUACUGGGCGUAAAGGGUUCGCAGGCGGCAUGGCAAGUCCGAUGUAAAAGGCGAAGGCUCAACCUUCGUAAGCAUCGGAAACUGUCAGGCUUGAGUGAAGGAGCGGCAAGUGGAAUUCCUAGUGUAGCGGUGGAAUGCGUAGAUAUUAGGAGGAAUACCGGUGGCGAAGGCGACUUGCUGGACUUCAACUGACGCUGAGGAACGAAAGCGUGGGUAGCAAACAGG